RNAcentral lists this ribosomal RNA (572 nucleotides) under Marilyna meraukensis. Its description in RNAcentral is "partial 16S rRNA". It matches the Rfam family "Bacterial large subunit ribosomal RNA", at positions 1816 to 2597 of the family's 2925-position model. Lineage: Eukaryota; Metazoa; Chordata; Actinopteri; Tetraodontiformes; Tetraodontidae. The record is from RNAcentral.
CGCCUCUUGCUUCCCAAGAAUAAGAGGUCUUGCCUGCCCUGUGACUAUAUGUUCAACGGCCGCGGUAUUUUGACCGUGCAAAGGUAGCGCAAUCACUUGUCCUUUAAAUGUGGACCUGUAUGAAUGGCAUAACGAGGGCUUAACUGUCUCCUCUUUUUAGUCAAUGAAAUUGAUCUCCCCGUGCAGAAGCGGGGAUAGAACCAUAAGACGAGAAGACCCUAUGGAGCUUUAGACACAAAGCAGACCCUGUCAAAGCCCUGUGAUAACAGUACCAAACUAAGUGCGACCUGCUUGAAUGUCUUUGGUUGGGGCGACCGCGGGGCACCAAAAAACCCCCAUGUGGAAUGAAAGCCACUUUUAAAACCAAGAGCCACCGCUCUAAGUAACAGAAUUUUUGACCAACAUAUGAUCCGGCCACGGCCGAUUAACGAACCGAGUUACCCUAGGGAUAACAGCGCAAUCCUCUUUAAGAGCCCAUAUCGACAAGAGGGUUUACGACCUCGAUGUUGGAUCAGGACAUCCUAAUGGUGCAACCGCUAUUAAGGGUUCGUUUGUUCAACGAUUAAAGUCCU